CUUAUUUCCAAACCAAAAUAUUGUAUUUUGUUAAAAUAAUCUCCAUGUUCACAUAGUCUUCUCCCCUCUGUGUCUGUGUGUCUAUGACCAAAUUUGGAUCAUUUUAUAAGAACAUCAGUCAUUGGAUUAGGGCCCCCUAAUCCAGUAUGACCUCAUUUUAACUUGAUUACAUCUGUAAAGACCCUAUUUCCAAAUAAUGCCACAUUCACAGGAACAAGGGUGUAGGACUCGAACAUAUGUAUUUUUAGGAACACAUCUCAAUCCAUAAUAGCACCCAUCCUUACCUUUUGUUUUUUUAACCUCCCCAUAACCUUCCUGUUUAAGGAUAUUCCUCUCAAAUUUGUCCUCUUCUUUCUUCUUAGUGACCUUAUUCCAAGGAUUAUUUUCCUCUCGUGUGUCUUCAACCUUUAUCUCUUUUCUGGCUGUUUCUCAGUGUUGGAGAGAGGGAAAUUUCCCCCUAUACCACUCUUGAGUUCUUAUGGCUGGACUAAUAAAAUUAAUACAAGAUCAGAUUAAUAGGAGAAAAAACAAUUUAAUAGUAUGUAUUGGAGAUCAUAAACCUGAUGCUUUCCAAGUGAACAAAGCAGGCAGUUUAUAUAUCUUUUCACACAAAGAAACAAUAAAUUUGUAAAGAAAUGACAGGACAAAGAAACUUAGGUUUGGGAUAUGUAAUUAGGAAUUUAAAAGACUUGAGGCAGUAAAUUAGGAAAAGUAACAAAGUUUGUUUAUACAGGCCUCUCAGCCCUGAAUUCCCUGGCUCUGGUGAUAAGCAUGCCUCUGUCUCCUGGUGUGGAAGGGCACCGUUCACAUGAGGACGUAUUUCCUGCUUUCAGGGGGAACAGAGAGUCAACAUCUAUUAGAUGAGAAAAUGAGUCAGUACAGUAAUGAUGACUGAAAGUACUCCUCUUCAUCAAGUCAAAGGAAGACACCCUGUGAGACUGGCCUAUCGUUCAGCAGUGCUCUGAGGUUUCCUUCCUAGUUUCAGGUAGGGUAUGGUUUUUAUGUGGCCUGUAUUUCUGAAAUUGGGCAGUUUGUUCCAGGUGAAGCUUUUAUGGCUCUGGUUUCCUGGGAAAUACUGCUGUGCUUGCAGAUCAUUCAUUCACUGAUAAACUGAAUUGACUUUCCCAUGUAUUUAACUCAGUUUUUCAUUGUGAUGUAGUGAGCAAGUGCUGGGUUUGGAGUCAGAAGACUGGGUUUAAGUAUUGGCUCUGCCACUUAGCUUAUGUGUGACUUUAGGCCAAUCCUUUAACCUCUCUGAACUUUAAUUACCUUAUCUGCAAUUGAAAAAACUCCUGCUAUGCCUACUUCAUAGGAUUGUUGCAAAAGAUAGAUUAGAUAACAUGUGAAAACUCCCAUGUGAUUUAUAAAGCACCAUCCACUGUAAGG
This 1386-nucleotide long non-coding RNA is filed under the name Equus caballus (horse). Its description in RNAcentral is "lncRNA (ENSECAG00000052446.1)". Lineage: Eukaryota; Metazoa; Chordata; Mammalia; Perissodactyla; Equidae. The record is from RNAcentral.